Molecule: ribosomal RNA, 440 nt
Filed under: uncultured bacterium
Lineage: Bacteria
Description: partial 16S ribosomal RNA
Rfam family: Bacterial small subunit ribosomal RNA
Source: RNAcentral
CCUACGGGUGGCAGCAGUGGGGGAUAUUGCACAAUGGGGGGAACCCUGAUGCAGCGACGCCGCGUGUGGGAAGACGGUCCUCUGGAUUGUAAACCCCUGUCUCAAGGGACGAAAAUGACGGUACCUGGGGAGGAAGCUCCGGCUAACUACGUGCCAGCAGCCGCGGUAAUACGUAGGGAGAGAGCGUUGUCCGGAAUUACGGGGUGUAAAGGGAGCGUAGGCGGGGAUGCAAGUGGGGGGUAAAAACUACCGGCUAACCUUGUAGUCGCACUCAAAACUGCAACUCUUGAGGGAAGUAGAGGCAGGCGGAAUUCCUAGUGUAGCGGUGAAAUGCGUAGAGAUUAGGAGGAACACCAGUGGCGAAGGCGGCCUGCUGGACUUUUACUGACGCUGAUGCUCGAAAGUGUGGGGAGCAAACAGGAUUAGAUACCCCUGUAGUC